GGAUUGUGGGCUGAAACCCGCCCACAUGAAGUCGGAGUUGCUAGUAAUCCCGAAUCAGAAUGUCGGGGUGAAUGCGUUCCCGGGUCUUGUACACACCGCCCGUCACGCCAUAGGAGUUGGGGGUAUCCGAAGUCGGUGAGCUAACCGCAAGGGGGCAGCCGCCUAAGGUAAAACCAAUGACUGGGGUGAAGUCGUAACAAGGUAUC
RNAcentral lists this ribosomal RNA (206 nucleotides) under uncultured bacterium. RNAcentral's name for it is "partial 16S ribosomal RNA". It matches the Rfam family "Bacterial small subunit ribosomal RNA", at positions 1295 to 1500 of the family's 1533-position model. The record is from RNAcentral.